This is a non-coding RNA of Pangasianodon gigas (Mekong giant catfish), 78 nucleotides long. NCBI's taxonomy places the organism in Eukaryota, Metazoa, Chordata, Actinopteri, Siluriformes, Pangasiidae. The record is from the annotation of a GenBank genome assembly.
GCUGUGGUAGUUUAGUGGUUAAACUAUUGGACUAUUGAUUUGAAGGUUGUGAGUUCAAUUCCUAGCACUGCCACUGCU